UGAGGAAUAUUGGUCAAUGAGGGCAACCCUGAACCAGCCAAGUCGCGUGAAGGAAGAAGGUCUUAUGGAUUGUAAACUUCUUUUACACGGGAAUAAAGCGGGGGACGUGUCCCUCUUUGCAUGUACCGUGUGAAUAAGGAUCGGCUAACUCCGUGCCAGCAGCCGCGGUAAUACGGAGGAUCCGAGCGUUAUCCGGAUUUAUUGGGUUUAAAGGGUGCGUAGGCGGAAAGAUAAGUCAGCCUGUGAAAGUUUGCGGCUCAACCGUAAAAUUGCAGUUGAUACUGUUUUUCUUGAGUGUACAUAAGGUAGGCGGAAUUCGUGGUGUAGCGGUGAAAUGCUUAGAUAUCACGAAGAACUCCGAUUGCGAAGGCAGCUUACCGGGGUACAACUGACGCUGAUGCACGAAAGUGUGGGUAUCAAACA
Molecule: ribosomal RNA, 423 nt
Filed under: uncultured bacterium
Lineage: Bacteria
Description: bacterial SSU rRNA
Rfam family: Bacterial small subunit ribosomal RNA
Source: RNAcentral